RNAcentral lists this long non-coding RNA (245 nucleotides) under Homo sapiens (human). RNAcentral's name for it is "HSALNT0292764". Lineage: Eukaryota; Metazoa; Chordata; Mammalia; Primates; Hominidae. The record is from RNAcentral.
UCAGUCCUUAGUUACAAGGCUCCAUCCUCACUUUGUUCGCUCCUCAGUCGUCCAGGCGGAUUCCUUUUUCGCCAGGCACCAAGGCACAGCUUAGAGUAGACCCGAGUCCUGCUCUGCGGAGUUCGUCUUCCCAGCGAAGGUACAGAGGCGGAUGAACUGCUGAGACUUGGGUCUCACUCUGUCGCCCGGUACAGUGGCGUGAUCUUGGCUCACUGCAACCUCCACCUCCCAGGUUCAAGUGAUUC